This is an RNA transcript of Aquila chrysaetos chrysaetos, 3318 nucleotides long. It is a transcript of the gene named adipogenin, with no coding region annotated. The transcript has 3 exons. Lineage: Eukaryota; Metazoa; Chordata; Aves; Accipitriformes; Accipitridae. The record is from RefSeq and is a predicted model, not a curated record.
AUGGCUUUAUUUUAUUGAAGGAGAAACACACAGUGUGAUGAAUAUCAAGUUACCAAAGUCACAUAUCUGUUCCUUCUUUGAUCACUACUGAACUCCUUUUCUAUUAAGCAAUGCAUUUAUAGACACAUAUCCUACGAACCAUGCUAGCUUGCCUUUCUUGGAGGGAAGGGGGAUAGAAAGGCAAUUAAAAUACAAAGGUUUAUUUUCCUAAUGGAUUAAUUAAUAGAUAGAAACAUAGAGAGUAGGCUAAAAAUAGAGUCCAUGUUAAUACGGGACAUGUUUGUGCUCCAUGUCAAAUAAUAGAGCCUGGGAGAAGUAAAUUUUAGCUAGUCAUCCUCUACUCAUCUCUGCAGUGUUGAUUCUGUUUUACUGAUUUCUCAAAAGCAACCUUGGCUACCCAGUUUCAAAGUGGCUGAAGUGCUGGGUUAUCUCCCCUAUAUCUGAAGACAUAAACAUACCUUUAACUAUUGUUUUAACAUAAGCCUUGAAAGCUUCCUAACUUGUAUUUAUCCUUUAAACAGCAGCUGAGGGAAGGACAAUCAAAUCAGAUGUUUUCUCAGUUGUUCUUAUCCUGUGUUUAAGCCUUAUUACUCCCUCCCUACAUAGCACAGGGCUGUCCCUUUUGCUAACCAUGCUGAGUAUAUCAGCGGUCUUCCUGUGAUUAACACAGUGAUGCAAUGAGAGUUAUUAAAAGCUAGUUAGUAAAGCAGAGCAGGCAAGCUGUUCUAAACUUAGUGUAACCUGAAGCAAGCAAUGAAGUAUCCUCUGGUUCCUUUGGUGAAUGAGCUGACCUUUCCUCUUCUUUUCUUCUGGUUUUGUUUGCCAUUUGUAAUGCUGUUGAUCAUAAUGAUUAUCUGGCUACAGCUUCUACUUAAUGAAGCACAAAUGCCCAGUGUAGAAGAAAUAAAGAAACCAUCUUCUGAUGAGCCUGAUUCUGACUCUAAAUUUGAGGAUGAACCAACAGAGGAAGAAACCCAGAAUGACACAUCCAGUACAGAAAUGCAAGAGGAGAUGCAAUCCAGUGGAUCUGUGGAAAAACUGAGGCCUAAGCCUGCUUAUCUGAGUUCAAAUGCAAAAAGCCAAAAGCAAAGUCUUUUUGCUGUAAUCUCAGACAGCUGGUCUCAGAGCCAGAAGAUAAGAUAUUCUCAGGUUGAGAAGAGCGAUUUCUGUAACAUCGUGAUGGUGAGUACCGUGAGCAGGCUACCUCUUUGCAUAUCUACUGCUUUUGUGCCUUAGCUCUGAUUUUUUUUUUCACCUCUGCCUGACUCCCUGGCAUUGUGGGUAAGAGAAAGCUGCAAGAUUGGUUUCUGCUUGGUUAAUGACUAACAAGAGACUUUUUCCAUCUUCCCUAUUUGGAAUGACUCCUGUUGUAGACAAAGUAAAGAAGGGGCUCAGAAGGGAAAGCUGGUCUGUGCCUCCACUGUCACUAUUCACAGUCCUGUCUACUCAUUUACAUUGCUGGGAUUUUUGAAUUGCAGCAGCUGAGGUACUCACUCACAUUUACUUCCACCAGGUUUGCUGGAGCAGUAACCUUUGUUAGGCUAGAAUAGCUAAGGACUGGUAUCAUUUUAAAUUGCUGCAGUUGUUUGACUAGCACACCCUGAAGCUGGAACAGCUCAAGUCAAAGUAUUUUUGACAUCGUUAACAUCACCAAGGCAGUACCAAGUCAGUGUAGUAAUAUAUAAUUUUUUUUUUUUCUUCAUUGUUGUUGUUCAAAGGCUUGAGAAACAAUGCUAAGAAUGAGCUUGGACUUGCCUAGGCUACCAUUUGGUUCUCCUAGAGCUCUUCACAUGUACAAGUAUUGAUUUGAACACAGCAGUUUGAAGAACUGGGGUUUAAACUUGGCUCUUGUGGGACAUAAUGCUCAUACUGAAAGGCUUGCUAGUUGUGUUGGGUGGAUGAGGGAAGGGAACAAGCAUUCAUGGUCUCAAAUCAUUUAUAUCCAACUGAAAAUUGAACUUCUGAAAACAGUAUUGCCAUGACAGUUCUGUUCCUCCUUUUCUUCACCAGCUGUUAUGCACCAUGCUUUCUUCUCUCACCUGGAACUUUGGCUACCAGUUGCUCCAGAUCUCUAAUGUCCUGAGGAUUCAACUGCUGCUCUCCUCUCUGAUUAUCUACAUGGCUCAGCUGUUCGUUUUGCUGGGUGAAAAAGUUGUGAAAAUCCUGGGCUCCAUGAGGCUAGAGUUGGCUUCAGUCUUGGGGAGGAAACUGGAACGGAGUGACGAAGCUCAGAGAACCACUUCGGGGUGGAAAUAAAGCAGGUAGUCCCACAACUGUUAGCAGCAAUCUUGCUCAGCAUCAGUGAGAGCUACUGCAGUAUGGUAGAGGGAGGUUAAUUCUCCGAAAAGGAAACUUACUCGAGACUAAGUGGACAGACGCUUGGGUCACAACAGCUGCUUUCAGAGUGAACGGUAUUGACAGUCUAAAUAUUAAAUGGAUGACAGCAGCCAGCCUCUUGUCCAGUGCUUGGGUGUGUACUCUGCCCCCCUCUGACUUUACAGAGGGAUGAGUUCCUUUUUUCAUAAGGACUACAGUGAUACUCCCUAUUGACCAUUUUGAUAUCUUUGAUUUUGAACAAAUAAGAUCAAGGCAAUAGCUCUUGGUAGUGGUUCUUGCUGGAGCUUAAAUGCAGUACAGCCCAGUGAUUAUUUUACUCAUACUGCAAUUAGCACUUUUCUGAUCUCCAACUUGUCAGUUCUCCAAGUAGGAAACAAAUUUUUCCAUGCUCAGGUCUAACAAAUGAAACAAGCCUACCUCCAAUUAACAAGAAAUAAUGAAGCCCUUAGCAGAUACUGUGCAUGCAUUUCCUUCAUUUCUGUUCAGGAUAUGCUUUUCAGCACAGCUGACAGGCUGAUAAAAGGUUAGAUUACAGCCCAAAGAGGCACUCAGACCAACAACUUGAUUUAACCAGUUAGUGGGACCACAAGGAUGUUGGUAGGACUGCGAUGAGCCAUGAUUUUGUGGCUUAAGGGUUUAUCCAGUUGUUUGUUGGGCUAUGAGCAGAAGAGCUGUUUGCUCCUGGUGUUGAUGCACACAUUCAACAAACUCUUUAAAAAAAGAGGACCUGAAUUAGGAUGUCACAACCCAAAGAGCGCAUUGCUACUUGUGAAAAAUGUUUUGUCUCUGCUCCUGGUGUGAAGUAACUGUGUCUCUGGAGCCUUGCAUGGGUAGACCGAGUAACAGUUACACUAGCCCGCACUAAUUAUGAAGCCUGCCUUGUUUAUGUUUACUUGUCCUUCCCUCCCCAUCCCCUGACCUCCACAUCUUCAAAUAUUUGUCCAGAGCAGUAUGCUCUUAAAUAAAACUUGUUUGUCCACA